RNAcentral lists this unclassified non-coding RNA (719 nucleotides) under Desmarestia menziesii. RNAcentral's name for it is "sequence contains ITS1". The stretch from base 244 to 398 matches the Rfam family "5.8S ribosomal RNA". Lineage: Eukaryota; Phaeophyceae; Desmarestiales; Desmarestiaceae. The record is from RNAcentral.
AAGCGGCUGGCACCCGUCCACAACUGCCAAAUCUCGGGUCUUCGGACUCGCAGAACCCCGCGAACGAAGUGCAUUAGUUUGUUAUGCGACGUUGGGCGAGAGGCGUCUCGCCGGGCCCCCCCCCUCGGGACGGGUUCCGAAUCAAAGCGUACACCCCAUUUUCAACCCCACUAAACUCUGAAUCUGAACUCGAAAGGGAGGCUGGCCCUACGGCCAGCCGUCCUCAACCAUAUAACGUUGUAAAACUUUCAGCGACGGAUGUCUUGGCUCCCACAACGAUGAAGAACGCAGCGAAAUGCGAUACGUCUUGCGACUUGCAGAAUCCAGUGAAUCAUCAAAACUUUGAACGCAUCUUGCGCUUCCGGGAUACUCCUGGGAGCAUGCUUGUCGGAGUGUCUGUUGACACCACUCGCCCGCCUCUCCUUUUCUCCUACCCGGGGGAAAGGAUGGCGAGCGGACUCUGCGUGUUCCGGAGCUUUCGACGCCCUCCUCGGGGGGUGUCGGGAAAACGCUCCGAGUGCACCGAAUCUCGUGAACGAAACCUCUCUUCUGCCUGUGGCCUUUUGGUUGCGCAGAGUUGUUGACGGCGCUCGUGCCCUUUUUGGGUUCGGCGACUCUCGGCUCGAUAAACGCGCGCCGAAGCGCUCCUGUUGCGGAGGGGUUGUUGUUUUCCGGUGGGCGGUCCUAGCGGCCGCUCCUCCGCGUUUUACUACUUUCGU